Molecule: long non-coding RNA, 505 nt
Organism: Monopterus albus (swamp eel)
Lineage: Eukaryota; Metazoa; Chordata; Actinopteri; Synbranchiformes; Synbranchidae
Exons: 3
Source: RefSeq, a predicted model, not a curated record
CAAGUCCCUGCGUUUACGAACAAGUCAUUACCAACACCAAUAACUGCAACACAGCACUGAGACAUCCAACAUGUCAGAGAAGAAACAGACCGUGGAUUUGGGCUUACUGGAGGAGGAUGACGAGUUUGAAGAAUUCCCAGCCGAGGACUGGACAGGGCUUGAUGAAGAUGAAGAUGCUCAUGUUUGGGAAGACAACUGGGAUGAUGACAACGUAGAAGAUGAUUUCUCAAAUCAACUGAGAGCAGAGCUUGAAAAACAUGGUUACAAGAUGGAGACGUCAUAGCAGCUGACAAGACCUUUCAGUAUGCGGUGACAUUGGACAUAUGGACACUUCUAUCUGAAUAUUACUGGUUUGACCAGACACACCAUCAGAAUAGAUUUUUUGGGGGGGGGGAGUAAGGACAAUAGAUGUUUGGAGAAAGUUAUGUUAAGUGUUUUUACUGACCAACAGUAGUGCAGAUGUUAAGGUGAUGGCAUUUAUAAUAAAUUGGCUGUUUACACACUA